RNAcentral lists this ribosomal RNA (884 nucleotides) under Akashiwo sanguinea. Its description in RNAcentral is "LSU rRNA". It matches the Rfam family "Eukaryotic large subunit ribosomal RNA", at positions 79 to 989 of the family's 3401-position model. Lineage: Eukaryota; Dinophyceae; Gymnodiniales; Gymnodiniaceae. The record is from RNAcentral.
CUUAGUAAUGGCGAAUGAAUGGGAUGAGCUCACCAUGGGAAUCGGGGUCCUCGACCUUGAAUUGUAGUCUUGAGACGCACUGCCAACAAAGGCGCAGGUGUAAGCCUCUUGGAAGAGAGCAUCGCAGAGGGUGAGAGUCCCGUCUGUCCCUGCAGCCCCUUGUGUACGGCAUGCGUUCUGAGAGUCACGUUCCUCGGGAUUGGAGCGCAAAUUGGGUGGUAAGUUUCCCUCAAGCUAAAUAUUGGUCCGAGACCGAUAGCAAACAAGUACCAUGAGGGAAAGGUGAAAAGGACUUUGAAAAGAGAGUUAAAAGUGCUUGAAUUGCUGAAAGGGAAGCGAAUGGAACCAGUUCUGCUGGGCGAGAUUGUCGCAUGCCAGGCCUCGUGCCGGCCGCAUGCGGUGCUUCUUGCCUUGUGUGUCAGCUGCGGUCCGAAGUCGGGGAAAACUCUGGGGACAUGGAUGCCAACCUCCGGGGGGUGAAUGUGCCUGGCAAGACCCGUCCUCGGACCGUGAGCAGUGCUUCGGCAUGUUUGCGGUGCUGACGAAAUGCUUCUAUUCGACCCGUCUUGAAACACGACCGAGGAGUCUAACAUGUGUGCGAGUUCACGGGUGUCAAACCUGCUUGCGCAAUGAAAGUGACUGCUGGGAUACUUGCACCAGCAACCGAUCUGUCAACCGAGAGAGAUUUGAUUUGAGCAUACCUGUUAGGACCCGAAAGAUGGUGAACUAUGCUUGUGUAGGGCAAAGCCAGGGGAAACUCUGGUGGAGGCUCGUAGCGAUACUGACGUGAAAUCGUUCGUCAAACAUGAGUAUAGGGGCGAAAGACUAAUCGAACCAUCUAGUAGCUGGUUCCCUCCGAAGUUUCCCUCAGGAUAGCUGGAGUU